UACGAAGGGUGCAAGCGUUAAUCGGAAUUACUGGGCGUAAAGCGUGCGUAGGCGGUUUGUUAAGUCUGCUGUGAAAUCCCCGGGCUCAACCUGGGAAUGGCAGUGGAUAUGGCAGCUAGAGUGUGUCAGAGGAUGGUGGAAUUCCCGGUGUAGCGGUGAAAAUGCGUAGAGAUCGGGAGGAACAUCAGUGGCGAAGGCGGCCAUCUGGGACAACACUG
This 218-nucleotide ribosomal RNA is filed under the name uncultured bacterium. RNAcentral describes it as "partial 16S ribosomal RNA". It matches the Rfam family "Bacterial small subunit ribosomal RNA", at positions 524 to 742 of the family's 1533-position model. The record is from RNAcentral.